GCAAGCGUUCUCCGGAAUUAUUGGGCGUAAAGCGUCCGCCGGUGGCGAUUCAAGUCUGCGGUUAAAGACUGGGGCUUAACCCUGGAAAGGCCGUGGAAACUGAAACGCUAGAGUGCAGUAGGGGUAGAGGGAAUUCCCGGUGUAGCGGUGAAAUGCGUAGAGCUCGGGAAGAACAUCGGUGGCGAAAGCGCUCUGCUGGACUGCAACUGACACUCAGGGACGAAAGCUAGGAGAGCGAAUGGG
RNAcentral lists this ribosomal RNA (243 nucleotides) under uncultured bacterium. RNAcentral describes it as "partial 16S ribosomal RNA". It matches the Rfam family "Bacterial small subunit ribosomal RNA", at positions 534 to 776 of the family's 1533-position model. The record is from RNAcentral.